Heterocephalus glaber (naked mole-rat) is the source of this 595-nucleotide long non-coding RNA. RefSeq lists it as uncharacterized. The record is from RefSeq and is a predicted model, not a curated record. Lineage: Eukaryota; Metazoa; Chordata; Mammalia; Rodentia; Bathyergidae.
CUGAUCACCAUCCUGCCUCAGCUGUCAGUGGCAUGGCUUCCUUCUUAUUUUCUAACCUGAGUGUCCCUGAUUUGCUCUUUGCUCUCAUUAACAGGCCAGCGCAGGGCUGAGGGGCACCGAGAAGCACUGCCCUCACACCACUCCCCAUCGCAGGGGGCAGCAGGCCCUCCUUCACCCUUCGUCUCACGCUGUAUUUUUUGGAGUUGCCUUUAUCAGUUUAAGUCAGUGUGCUAAAACCGCAAGGAGAACUAGGUGUUGAAGGCGUGUCUUUGGAGCCUCUCUUGGCAGGCGUAUGAACGGCUCAGUGUCCUGCAGCACCCUUUGACCACUGUCUCAAAACCAUCGUUUCAUAUUUUAUCCCAUUUUUCAGCUGUUUCAAGUGGGAGAAUAAGUUGUGUCUGUAUUAUUUCACCAUGUUUGGAUGUGAUUAUCCACAGCAGUAUCAACUGACUUUGGAAUGGGAUUGGCAUACCGCUGGUUUUAGAGAAAUGCUUAUUCAUCUCAGCUUUGAAUUUAUUGGACAAUAAAAUUGCUAAAACCAACUUGCUGCAAAAUUAUUAAAUUUAACACGAUACGCAUCCCUGCAUAGAGUGGU